AUGGCUGGGCAUGGACUGGAGUUGCAGGUCCAUAGCCGGAUCCCACGUAGUCUCCCACUGGCUCAGGAGUCUGGUAGAUGUUCGUCGCGUAACCAGGGCUGCUGUAUGGACUUGGGUACCCUUGGGAACCAUAUGCAUUUUGUGAUCCAUAUCCAGGAAGCGGGGUGCUUGGGUAGCUUCCGUAGGCUUGAUGUUGGUUCGCGGUGCUUGCGUAGCUUGUGUGAACUUGAUGCUGGUCUGCGGUGCUUGGGUAGCUUGCGUGAACUUGAUGCUGGUCUGCGGUGUUUGGGUAGCUCGGAUUCGGGUAGCUUGCGCAUGUCUGUUGCUGAUAUGGGGCAUUCGAGUAGCUUGACUGGAUCUGAUGUGGAGCACUUGAGUAGCCAGACGGCGCACCCGGAGCAUGCACGCCUUGUCCAUAUGAGUAGUUCAUUGGUGGUUCAAAGCUUGACGACGGAGAUGGUCCUGCCGCAGAAACACUCCCGGUAUAUGCUGAGCUAA
This 498-nucleotide ribosomal RNA is filed under the name Triticum aestivum (bread wheat). RNAcentral describes it as "partial small subunit ribosomal RNA". Lineage: Eukaryota; Viridiplantae; Streptophyta; Magnoliopsida; Poales; Poaceae. The record is from RNAcentral.